This 203-nucleotide microRNA precursor is filed under the name Oryza barthii. RNAcentral describes it as "MIR812 microRNA precursor family". It matches the Rfam family "MIR812 microRNA precursor family". The record is from Rfam by way of RNAcentral. Lineage: Eukaryota; Viridiplantae; Streptophyta; Magnoliopsida; Poales; Poaceae.
AAUAGAUGACGCCGUUGACUUUUUCUCACAUGUUUGACCAUUCGUCUUAUUCAAAAAAUUUAUGCAAAUGUAUAAGAUAUAAAUCGCACUUAAAGUACUAUGAGUGAUAAAACAACUCAUAACAAAUAAAUUAUAAUUACGUAAAUUUUUUGAAUAAGACGAAUGGUCAAACAUGUGAGAAAAAAUCAACGGCAUCAUCUAUU